RNAcentral lists this ribosomal RNA (723 nucleotides) under Amycolatopsis sp. RNAcentral's name for it is "bacterial SSU rRNA". It matches the Rfam family "Bacterial small subunit ribosomal RNA", at positions 82 to 819 of the family's 1533-position model. Lineage: Bacteria; Bacillati; Actinomycetota; Actinomycetes; Pseudonocardiales; Pseudonocardiaceae. The record is from RNAcentral.
CGGGUGGUGAUGAGUGGCGAACGGGUGAGUAACACGUGGGUAAUCUGCCCUGCACUCUGGGAUAAGCCUUGGAAACGAGGUCUAAUACCGGAUAUCACAAUCUCUCGCAUGGGGGGUUGUUGAAAGUUCUGGCGGUGCAGGAUGAACCCGCGGCCUAUCAGCUUGUUGGUGGGGUAGUGGCCUACCAAGGCGACGACGGGUAGCCGGCCUGAGAGGGUGACCGGCCACACUGGGACUGAGACACGGCCCAGACUCCUACGGGAGGCAGCAGUGGGGAAUAUUGCACAAUGGGCGCAAGCCUGAUGCAGCGACGCCGCGUGAGGGAUGACGGCCUUCGGGUUGUAAACCUCUUUCGCCAGGGACGAAGCGCAAGUGACGGUACCUGGAUAAGAAGCACCGGCUAACUACGUGCCAGCAGCCGCGGUAAUACGUAGGGUGCGAGCGUUGUCCGGAUUUAUUGGGCGUAAAGAGCUCGUAGGCGGUUUGUCGCGUCGGCCGUGAAAUCUCCACGCUUAACGUGGAGCGUGCGGUCGAUACGGGCAGACUUGAGUUCGGUAGGGGAGACUGGAAUUCCUGGUGUAGCGGUGAAAUGCGCAGAUAUCAGGAGGAACACCGGUGGCGAAGGCGGGUCUCUGGGCCGAUACUGACGCUGAGGAGCGAAAGCGUGGGGAGCGAACAGGAUUAGAUACCCUGGUAGUCCACGCUGUAAACGUUGGGCGCUAG